AACUUUCAGCAACGGAUCUCUUGGCUCUCGCAUCGAUGAAGAACGCAGCGAAAUGCGAUAAGUAAUGUGAAUUGCAGAAUUCAGUGAAUCAUCGAAUCUUUGAACGCACCUUGCGCCCCUUGGUCAUUCCUCGGGGCAUGCCUGUUUGAGUAUCAUGAACACCUCAACUCUCAUGGU
Molecule: ribosomal RNA, 177 nt
Filed under: Thelephora versatilis
Lineage: Eukaryota; Fungi; Basidiomycota; Agaricomycetes; Thelephorales; Thelephoraceae
Description: 5.8S ribosomal RNA
Rfam family: 5.8S ribosomal RNA (bases 1-155)
About the family: 5.8S ribosomal RNA (5.8S rRNA) is a component of the large subunit of the eukaryotic ribosome.
Source: RNAcentral